Molecule: long non-coding RNA, 2113 nt
Organism: Amyelois transitella
Lineage: Eukaryota; Metazoa; Arthropoda; Insecta; Lepidoptera; Pyralidae
Exons: 3
Source: RefSeq, a predicted model, not a curated record
GGCUAGCAACGACCGCUACGCCAUUCUACCAUAGUUACUCGAGCGCGCGCCACCACUGUAUCUCUUCGCACAUUCCGUAGGGCUCAAAAUUAUCCGUCUCUUUCCCACUUCCUGUCAACCCUUUACAACCCUCUCCCUUCAUAAAGUUAUUCCUUGAUUUGAAAAAUUAUAUACAAAACUCAUAGAGCAAUCCCGUCAUCUAGUUUUAUAUCCGUGAAAUCGCAGACGUUUUUUGGACAAUGAAGCCCUUAUCAGGGCGUCAUUCUAUUCCUAUCGGUCGUACAGUUUUAUCUUAAUACAGUGCUAAAUAUUCGUUUCUAGGCUGAGCGCGCGCGUCGAACUUAGGCCUAAAUAGUCCGCGGAGCGUCGGUUACGCGAAAUUUUUGCACAAAUCGAAGCCACAAAUUCCCAAUAAGAUUCUUAUAGGCCUAUUUAGAAGACUGCUGGAUUACACUCCAAGGACCCCAAAGUUUUCGUAUAAAACAGGUUUCGAUCAAAAACCGGGUCAAAACUUUAUUUUCUAAACGUUUUUGUGAAGUGACUGUGAAAAGACCGAAACGACUUCGAAGAAGUGCUCUGGAAUUGUCUGUCUUUGGAUUUUCCUGGAUAUUUUCAUUAAAAAUGCAAAUAUCACAGAGACGCCACUCUUGAAAGUAAAAUUGAUUCGAAUAUGGGGGGAAAAGAGAUGGAAUGAAUACCUACUGGAUCAUACAAAGGCAAGCAAAUUUUAAGUAUUUUAAUUCUUAUCAAUUAAGAGAUAUAUAUAAUAAAUAUAAAUUAUAUACGGGACAAAUUACACAGAUUGAGUUAGCCUCGAAGUAAGUUCGAGACUUAUGUUACGAGAUACUAACUCAACGAUACUAUAUUUUCUAAUAAAUACGAGGUCUGACUAUUAAAUAACGAGACUGCUUAAGAAAAAGAGUUUUAUUUUAAAAAAUAUUCUACAAUCGAAUGCUCCCCUUCAAUAUACUCCCCUUCCCUCGCCUCAUCAUGCCCUAGCCGGGAUUCGAACCCUGGACCUCCUGUGUCACAGACAAGCGUAUUACCGCUGCGCCACAGAGGCCGUCAAGAAGAAAAUUAACCAAUGCUCUUUGGCGAGGAUAAACAUCGUGAAGAAACCUGCACAUUCAGGCAACUAGAUGUGUAACCAUGGAUCCAAUAAGGGUUAGGUUUAUUUACAAAGCCUGCGGAGGUCAGAUUCGUGUAAAAACCUGACACACCCAAUCCAGGAUCUAUGGUCAAAGGCAUAACCCGAGCUCCUCUCCAGAGUGGCGAGAAUGCAACCGGGACUAAAGCCAGGAGGAAUUAGACUUUAUUCCUGCAUAUACGUCUUUCGCUGUAGGUUGUUUGACAUUAUGACCUGAUACAUACAUACACAUACAUGCAUAUGGUAACGUCUAUAUCCCUUGUGGGGUAGACAGAGCCAACAGUCUUGAAAAGACUGAUCGGCCACGUUCAGCUAUUGGGCUUAAUGAUAGAAUUGAGAUCCAAAUAGUGACAGUUUGCUAGCCCAUCGCCUAAAAAAAGAAUCCCAAGUUUGUAAGCCUAUCCCUUAGUCGCCUUUUACGACAUCCAUGGUAAAUAGAUGGUACUAUUCUUUUUUUUUUAUUGGUGCCGGGAACCACACGGCACUAUGACCUGAUCUUUUACCAAAACGUCCACAUUGAUCAAGAAACCUUCCCCUUAGGACCCAUAUUCUCCAUAGAUACCAUUUGGACAAUAAAGAUGAUGAAAUAAACUGGGAACAAACUAAAACUGUGCCAAUAGGUUCAGUACAAAGAAUUUCUUGAUUUUAUCGGCGUCAGUGAACUGAAAAUCUACAAACUAAACGCCUAAAUAUAUCUCCAACAUUACCAUUUGAAAUUAAAUUGUAAAUUGUUAAUUUUAGAGUCGAAAUUCCUUCGUAAUAUAGAUUAUUUCUGGCAUGUUGGCAUCACUGAUUUGUGUCUGCGAAUUAUUUUUAUUUAGUCUGUCCCGAAUCGUGGCGCGGGAAGAUUGUGCCGGUGUCGGUGAGAGAGCGCGCGAAAUUUUAUAACCUCAAUGUUGCGUGAUUUUUGUGUGUGUGAAAUGUGAUUGUGUUUUGUGCGUGUUUUCUAGGAAUUAAUGACUUUAU